CACGAAUCUUCCCACAAGGAUCCUCUCACGGUGUAAAGCAGGUCCCCUCAACCAUGAAUCCAUGAGUCAGUCCAAGGUCGGGAGAGUCGGUGCUCAUCACCCAGAUUCCUUUGCUUGUUAUAUAGUAUGAGCCACCAAGGUUUGCAAAGAGGAGUUGGGAUUCCCAAGAAACCUUGACGGUUUGAGGGCCAGCCACGCCAUGGCAGAAACUAGAGCUCAGAAAUAAUCGAGAGUUUUGCAGGUAUUGGUACGGGAAGUAUGUGCACGUGAACUCGUGAAGUGUUGUAAUCCUCUAUCAAGUAACAAACAACACAAAAGCUGAGCUAUCAUACUCAGUGGCUCACAGGAUAUCUUGAUGAACUGAGUUGUUGUAUGGGGGGAACUCAUGUUUGUUCCUUUUCCUGAAGGCACAUAUUUUCUUGAAGAUCGAUCCUUCUUGUUUUA
Lolium rigidum is the source of this 444-nucleotide long non-coding RNA. RefSeq lists it as uncharacterized. The transcript has 5 exons. NCBI's taxonomy places the organism in Eukaryota, Viridiplantae, Streptophyta, Magnoliopsida, Poales, Poaceae. The record is from RefSeq and is a predicted model, not a curated record.